AGGCCGCCACAACAGCCGCGCCGCAGCCGGCGCCGCCCGCAGGCCCGCGGGGGCCCGGCAGCCGCUGCCCUUGGCAGACCCUGCGGCGGUGCUGGGGGUCGGGUUUGUGAGCGCUUCCCCCGCCCCCGGCCGUCCCUCCGAGGAGCAGUAGACAGAAUCAGAUGUGAGCUUAUGCCAGUGGUUGUGACAAGGCUAGAGUCUGCAUGUGAAGAUAUCCAAAUCCUCUUGACGUGCGUUCUCUAUGAAGUCUGAAAGGCCCAGGACAUUCUUGAUUACUCCAGCAGUGACAGAGUACAUGAACAGCAAUAUCCCAAGAAUGUCAACAUCUCAGUGCAAUAUGACUGCAAUACAAAUUAUUUUGGACUCAUGCUGUGACUCUUUAGGGGAAGAGACUCUCCGUCUCCACCACAGUACCUUCACAGAGCUCAUCAGCAGAGCUUUUCCAGAGGGUGGACAACCUAGGUAAUCUCUGCUGUUUGAAUCAUUCAUCUUUGUCAAGUAUUUCUUGCUAUGAUAAGCUUCCAGUUUAAUUUGUGGGUAGAAUAAUUCAUAUUCAGAGCAGUGGUAGCAGAACUGUAUCCAAGCUGGGAAAAUGCUGGUCCUUACUUGCCACAAUACCAUACAGUUUCAAGAUGCUGCUGUUUGCUUAAUUAGAGAAAGGGGAAUGAAAAGCUCUGUAGCUCUCCACUGGCACACCAGGGGUGUGAGCAGCCCCUGCUCACCCAGUCCACAUCUCAGCAUUGAUGAGACCAGCACUGGACUGCAGCAGGGCCCCAGCAGCCAGUGCCACCUCUCCCCUUGUGUGAAACCCUCUGAGCAGCUGCAGCAGUGGCAGCCCUGGACACAGACUCUGGGCAGCUCUAGGUCUCCCUCUCCAGGAGCAAGGCUGAUGAAAAGGCAACUGCUGAAGCUGAUCAUCGGGUCCUUCAUUUGCUAGCUUCUUCAGAAUGUAAGAUUGUGAAUCCAACCACUGAAAAAAAUCUUUCUUAUUGCACUCACAUGACUGUAAUGUGUUUGAACUUCCAGGUUAAGCAGUUAAGAGAGCAAAGCAUAGUGAGGAAAUACUUAAGAGACGAUCUCCUGGGCCUUCAGAGCAAAGGGACUUCUCCUGACUCUUUGCAGUAAUUAAUUUAUUAACUGCCAGGAAAGAGAAAUAAUAAUAACAAGCACGUGUCAGUAUUUCUCAGAACUUGUUCCUUCCCCAAGAAGUGGGUCUGGCACUUCUGCAAAGGCACCCAGAGGCUCAGCAGGUGCAUGAGGGGCUGGCAGCCUCCACGCAGCAACGGGAGCUCUGCCGAAGGUACUGCUACCUGUAGCAUUGCACCAGUUUACUUAAAUUUAAUGGGGUGGCAACUUACAACACUAUAAACAAGUUUUCCAAUA
Molecule: long non-coding RNA, 1383 nt
Organism: Haemorhous mexicanus (house finch)
Lineage: Eukaryota; Metazoa; Chordata; Aves; Passeriformes; Fringillidae
Exons: 3
Source: RefSeq, a predicted model, not a curated record